This 833-nucleotide ribosomal RNA is filed under the name uncultured Corynebacterium sp. RNAcentral's name for it is "bacterial SSU rRNA". It matches the Rfam family "Bacterial small subunit ribosomal RNA", at positions 557 to 1397 of the family's 1533-position model. Lineage: Bacteria; Bacillati; Actinomycetota; Actinomycetes; Mycobacteriales; Corynebacteriaceae. The record is from RNAcentral.
GGCGUAAAAGAGCUCGUAAGGUGGUUUGUCGCGUCGUCUGUGAAAUUCCGGGGCUAAAUUCCGGGCGUGCAGGGCGAUACGGGCAUAACUUGAGUACUGUAGGGGAGACUGGAUUCCUGGUGUAGCGGUGAAAUGCGCAGAUAUCAGGAGGAACACCGGUGGCGAAGGCGGGUUCUGGGCAGUAACUGACGCUGAGGAGCGAAAGCAUGGGUAGCGAACAGGAUUAGAUACCCGGUAGUCCAUGCCGUAAACGGUGGGCGCUAGGUGUAGGGGUCUUCCACGACUUCUGUGCCUAGCUAACGCAUUAAGCGCCCCGCCUGGGGAGUACGGCCGCAAGGUUAAAACUCAAAGGAUUGACGGGGGCCCGCACAAGCGGCGGAGCAUGUGGAUUAAUUCGAUGCAACGCGAAGAACUUACCUGGGCUUGACAUAUACGGGACCGGGCCAGAGAUGGUCCUUCCCUUGUGGCUCGUAACAGGUGGUGCAUGGUUGUCGUCAGCUCGUGUCGUGAGAUGUUGGGUUAAGUCCCGCAACAGCGCAACCCUUGUCUUAUGUUGCCAGCACGUAAUGGUGGGGACUCGUGAGAAACUGCCGGGUCAACUCGGAGGAAGGUGGGGAUGACGUCAAAUCAUCAUGCCCCUUAUGUCCAGGGCUCACACAUGCUACAAUGGUCGGUACAGUGGGUUGCGAUGCCGUGAGGUGGAGCUAAUCCCUAAAGCCGGUCUCAGUUCGGAUCGGGGUCUGCAACUCGACCCCGUGAAGUCGGAGUCGUUAUAAUCGCAGAUCAGCAACGCUGCGGUGAAUACGUUCCCGGGCCUUGUACACACCGCCCGU